Molecule: ribosomal RNA, 468 nt
Filed under: uncultured bacterium
Lineage: Bacteria
Description: partial 16S ribosomal RNA
Rfam family: Bacterial small subunit ribosomal RNA
Source: RNAcentral
GACGAACGCUGGCGGCGUGCUUAACACAUGCAAGUCGAACGGAAAGGCCCUGCUUUUGUGGGGUGCUCGAGUGGCGAACGGGUGAGUAACACGUGAGUAACCUGCCCUUGACUUUGGGAUAACUUCAGGAAACUGGGGCUAAUACCGGAUAGGAGCUCCUGCUGCAUGGUGGGGGUUGGAAAGUUUCGGCGGUUGGGGAUGGACUCGCGGCUUAUCAGCUUGUUUGUGGGGUAGUGGCUUACCAAGGCUUUGACGGGUAGCCGGCCUGCGAGGGUGACCGGCCACAUUGGGACUGAGAUACGGCCCAGACUCCUACGGGAGGCAGCAGUGGGGAAUAUUGCACAAUGGGCGGAAGCCUGAUGCAGCAACGCCGCGUGCGGGAUGACGGCCUUCGGGUUGUAAACCGCUUUCGCCUGUGACGAAGCGUGAGUGACGGUAAUGGGUAAAGAAGCACCGGCUAACUACGUG